RNAcentral lists this ribosomal RNA (447 nucleotides) under uncultured bacterium. Its description in RNAcentral is "bacterial SSU rRNA". It matches the Rfam family "Bacterial small subunit ribosomal RNA", at positions 355 to 825 of the family's 1533-position model. The record is from RNAcentral.
UGGGGAAUAUUGGACAAUGGGCGCAAGCCUGAUCCAGCCAUGCCGCGUGAACGAUGAAGGCCUUAGGGUUGUAAAGUUCUUUUGUCAGGGAAGAUAAUGACGGUACCUGAAGAAUAAGCACCGGCUAACUUCGUGCCAGCAGCCGCGGUAAUACGAAGGGGGCUAGCGUUGUUCGGAUUUACUGGGCGUAAAGCGCGUGUAGGCGGGCUUGUAAGUUGGGGGUGAAAUCCCGAGGCUCAACCUCGGAACUGCCUCCAAAACUACAAAUCUGGACCUAAGUAGAGGCAAGUGGAAUUGCGAGUGUAGAGGUGAAAUUCGUAGAUAUUCGCAGGAACACCAGUGGCGAAGGCGACUUGCUGGACUUAUGGUGACGCUGAGACGCGAAAGCGUGGGGAGCAAACAGGAUUAGAUACCCCCGUAGUCCCUGAGCGGGCUGGCAAGGCGCAU